This 825-nucleotide long non-coding RNA is filed under the name Citrus x clementina. Its description in RNAcentral is "Citrus clementina (C. clementina) long non-coding RNA (CCLE_LNC001943)". The record is from RNAcentral. Lineage: Eukaryota; Viridiplantae; Streptophyta; Magnoliopsida; Sapindales; Rutaceae.
AAUUUUUGUAAUGAGUAUAUAUAUUGACAGUAUAGGCGCAUGGCCUACAUACCAUUACGGGCCAAAUUCGAUGUUGAGUGGGAGUUGCUUUGGGCUGUAAACCUUAUGAUCGCAGCAUAGUGUAGUAUUUUGCUCAAUCGAUCUAGCUAUCCCAUUGGCACGUGUUGUAUGUUGAAAGCACAUAGAGCCACAAAUCAUUUCAAAUAAUAACAUGUCUACACCAACUUUCUGCAAAUCCAACUCUCUUUUCUUUCUCUAUUCAGCGGAGAGGGCGCUCUCAAUAGAAUUUACAUUUAUUUAUUUAUUUAUUUGUUGAUUGAGUUUUCUAUCCUUUCUAGACUGAGAUCAAAACGUUUCUAUGAUUAUUGACUUAUGAGUUGUUUUCUCCACCUAUGUAAGGUGAUUUGUUUUUCUUUUUUCUAGGCUAAAAGAUCUUUUACUUUUAGAUUUGAUUGGAGCUUGAAUUUGUUGAGUGGAGGUAUCUUUUAUUGUUACUUAGGGUGCAUGAUUUUUAUUCCCCAUAUGACAAUAAACUAUAAUGGUUAUUUUUUGUUGCAAUAGAUUACUGUAUAGUCUCUUAUGGAUCAAGGGUACGUUUGACAGCCUGCAUCAAACACAUUAUGUUGAAAUAUUAUUUUAUAUUUUUUUUGUGCUAAUUUUGUCCUAACUUAUUAGGUGUAAUAAAACCUCAAUGAAUAAAUGUUUGAUAAAUGAAAAAACUUGAUUAAGUAAUAAAAUCAUUCGAUCCCAACUUGACUAGUGUAAUAAAUUAAUAAAUUUACUAAAUGCAUAAGAUAAUUUUUUUUUUGAAUCCUUUAGGGUCCA